CUCAUGUAUUUUAUUUGCUCCUCCAUUCUUAAGUACUUGUUUAUCUCUAGAUGUUAUAAUGAUUUUACUUCCUUCACCAAAAUGCUGAACUCCCAAAUCAUUCAUUAGGUCUGAGUCAUUAACAUCAUCAAGGACAACAAUUACUUUUUUGUUGUUCAACCUCUCUUGGAUAAAGCCUUGUCCAAUUGAAGGGGUGCGUAUAUGAAUUUCUUGCUUUAAUAGUUCUGUAAGAAAAUCAUCUCGUAAAGAUUCCAUUCCUUGUUUCUCGAUUUUCUCACUAACGUUAUGAAGAAAGCAACUAUCUUCGAACUUUUGAGAGACUUCUUUGUAUACAACAUCAGCAAGGGUAGUUUUGCCUAUACCACCCAUUCCCCAAAGUCCUAUUAUGCGAGUGUCUUCUUGCUCAAUUAGCCCCAAAAUCAUUUUUUUCUGAUCAUCUAUUCCAACCAAUUCUUCAGAAGCAUUUCUAAAAUAGUUAUUCAUUAACUUUUUUAUAACAUAUUCAACAAUAUCCUUGAUGUACUCGGUUUCAGGUCUAGCAAAUAAUAAAAAUUAUAUAUGAGAGCUAAAACAAAUCUAAGUGAAAUAAAAUUAGAAGAUGAGAAAAAUAGAGUUACCUGUCGAAUUUGCCUCCUAUUAUGUGCCAACCUUUUAAUUUACCGACUUCAACAAAAGCAGCUUUCCAUCGCUUCACUUCAUCAAUUGGCCUCUUUAAUUCAUGGUCUUCAAAGGAUGUCUUAAAACUCCCACCAAUAUUUCGCACAUUGGAAGGAUCAACAUGGUAAAAGAUGGGAAGAACAAUAUGUCCUUGAGUGUCCUUGCGGUCCAUGAUGUCAGAAACUUCUACCAAGCAUGAUUUUGAUGAAGCAUAAUCUACGGACAAAACGAUGAUUGAGAGAUUUGAAGCUGCAAUUGCUUGAGAAAGUGCUGAUGAAAGUUGCUCCCCCUUUUCUAGUUUUUCUUCAUCGAAGAAGACAUUCAGUCCCGUGUCUUUCAAAGCUUUGAGUAGAUGAGCCGUGAAGUUAAGACGCGUGUCUUCACCUCUAAAGCUCAAGAAAACUUGAUGCUUCAGUUGACGAGAAGAGUAAGAAGAAACAAUUGUUUGAGGAAGUGCUUGAGAAAGUUGAUCCGCGUCUUCUAGAUCUUGUUCAUGGAAGAAGAUAUUCAUUAUUGUGUGUUUCAAAGUUUGGAGUAAAUGAGUGAUGAAGUUAAGGCAUGUGUCUCUUUGAGGAGAAGAAGAGGAAGAAGAAGCAGCCAUGAAAGAGUUUGGAUUGUGUGAUCGAUGCAAAGACAGCAAAUUAUACCAAGGGAGCUUCAAAACAUGGUAUUCUUUUAUCAAAAUAUGGAUUUUGUUAGAAUAAAUGAAAGGCGACGACUUCAGUUUUGUCAUUAUCUCUGAGUCAAGAUUGGUGUCGCGCGGUAUCUCUCUUGUGAGGAUACAGGAGAUUCUACCUUCCUUUCUUUCUUUCUUUCUUUCUUUCUUUCUUUUUUUCCUUUAUCUCUUUUCAUCAAUCAUUAAUCAAUGUCCUUGUGGACCCUAAAAACUCACAAGUGGGAGAAAAUAAAUAUUUAGAUUACAAAGAGGAAGCAAUUUGAAUAAAAUUAAUUAAGAGGUCUUUUUCGUUGAAUUUUUAAACAUCUCCUAUCAAAAUUUGGUUUGAAUAAGUUUCUAUUAAAAUUAUUAUUACUUAUGUGAGCUCGGUCAUAUCAUAUUUGGAUUCGGCUAAAAAGACUCACAAGUGGGUCAAGCAUGGGCUAUUUCAAGUUAAUUGGGCUCAACAAUAUGAAAAACCCAAAGUUAAAAUGAAAUCCAUCAUUCAAGUUCCUUAUUUGAUAUUUACAUAUUAGUGCUCUUAUGUGCCAAUAUUUAGCUUUGUUCACAGCUUUGUGUUUUCAUUUAUAAUUAUGUCGUGUGUCAUAGUGCUCAACUAUGUUGUAUUACUUUGUGUUUAUGUGUUUGUCAUGUGAUUACAUGUCUUUACAUUCGUUUCCCAAUUAUCAUUUCUUUUUUUCAAAUAUUUCGUGUGUUUAGUUACAUAUUGUCGAGUUUAGUUUUUUUAUGCAUUAUUUUCUUUGGACUUUGUGUGAAUUGUUUUGAAACUGUGCUUAUGGGAUCUAUUUAUAUUGUUUUGUAGGUACUUUGUUGACCGUACAUUUUUCAUUAAGCCCUUUCAUCUCAAGAUCUGAAUUCGAGAAUUAAGCAACGUAAGACUUAAAAUUCAAGCAUUUAAUGGACAAAUUUAAUGAAGGGGUUCUAAAAGAUUCACAUCCAUGCAUCUAAAGUGAUGUUUCGGUACACCGAAAGUCUGAAAACAAGUUUUUUUUUUUUUUUCCAAGCCAGAAAACUUCGCGUGGAAACUUGAUAGAAAAAUUUCACACCAACUACGUACUCCCAUUUCAGACCCUAUUUUUUUAAUUAUUUUCCCUUAAAAAAUAAUGUUUCCUUUUACAAAAAUUGGUCAAAGUUUAUAAAAAAAUCCCUAUAUUUUUAUGUAAAGUUCAUUUUUGUCCCUCUACUGAAAAUUGCUCUAAAUUAAUUCUUCAGUAUUAAUUUUUAUUUUUCUAAAUCAUGACAUCUUUAUAAUUUAUUAUUAAGUAUUUUUUAAGCAAGAGAUGAUUAAAAAGUGCACUAUUUUUUUUAGGAUGGUUGAGCUUUUUUAUAUGGGUACAUCAGUUGGGCAAGAUACAUUCUAUUCAAAUUCACGACAAAUUGUAAUAAUGUCGUGAUUUUAACAAAAUUUUAAUAUACAAAGAUUAAUUUGAAACAAUUUUUAAUAAAGGACUAAAAUACAAUAAUAUAGGGACUUUUAGUUACCUACAAAAAAAUUCAUUUAAUUCAACAUAUAAUGUACCCAUUUUCUUGUCCCUAACACCUCCCUCAUUUAUAGCCCGCCUGGUUUUUUCUCUUUUCUUUCCCCCCUCACUUCUCCAUCUUCUUCCCUUUUCACAUGUCUCUUUGAUUGACCCCCUUUUUGCUCCUCUUUCAAUGUGUAAACCUUUGUAUGUUUGAUUUGUUUUCAAGAUCCAAAUAAACCCUUUUCUCUGCAUUGUUUGAACUUUGAACAACUUGCUCUUUUCCGUGUGUUUAAAUGGAUCUUGUGACCAAAAUAAACCAUAUUUUGAAUUAAUAGGGCCUUUCUGUUGUAAGUAUAAUAUAAUCUCCUAAGUCAUUGUAUAUAAUAUAAUGUCGAAAAACAAGUAUGAAGAAAAAAAAUAAAAUGUUUACUUCAAAACAUCAUUAUAAUUAUUUUAAAAGUUAAUUAAAAAUAUAAAAUGUUUGAUUCAUGAUGUUAGGUAUGGAUUUAUUUAUUCGGUAAAUGAAAAGUAAAUCAGCGACACUGGUCAUUUUAUAUGCAAUAUGACCGACAUAUGAUUUUGUUUUAACAGAUUAAAAAAAUAAAAUAUAUUUAAUUUGAUUUGAUUUAAAAUGAUAAAAUUUUAAUUUAAGUUUGACAUAUAAAAUUAGAUUCAUCCAUUCUAUUAAUGAAAAAAAUUUUUUAUACAAUGUAAGUAUAAACUCACACACAUUACAUUAUUAUAUUGGGAAACCUGUUGAUUGAACCCUAAUGUCCAAUAUACAUGAGCUUACUUCUUGAGUUUUAUUAUUAUUAUUUUUAAUUCAACUCAAUUUGAUGAAAUAUUAAUCAAUGUUAAUAUGUGGAAAUCUCGUGAUGAACUAAUAACAACACCAGUGCCCUAAACAUUUUAAAGAAUCCUGUGCAAGAACCAAGUACAUUGAUAUCAAACACCAUUUUAUUCGAGAAUUGGUUGAGAAUGGGUUUGUUGAGCUGAGGUAUGUGUCCACUCAAGGCCAGCUAGCUGAUUUCUUCACCCAAGCAUUGGAGUCCAACAGAUUCAAGAGUUUAACAAGCUUUGUUGGGGUGCGUCAACCUUGAAAGUGUUGACAAUUAUCAAAUAAGAAUUUUAAAUACUGUUCCGAAUAAAUCUUCACAAUUAUCGACAUGUAUAUCAAAUAUUGCUCUGGUUAUUUUUUCAUGCAUUUCCCUAGAAAUUUCCAUCCAUUCAAUUUGGUAAUCGAUUGGUUUGAUCGACUUUGCUAAAGUUAUCACAUAAAAGCACCCUUAAAGAUUUUUAUUAGGAAAAUCGACCCUCCCUCUUUCUAUAUUUGUAUAAAUUGAGUCUGAUCGUUAACUUAUUAUUUAGUGCAACAUUAAAAUUGACUUUGGAUGAAAUUACUAUGAUAUGUGAAAUUAUAAAUUGUCAUAAUGACAAUGGAAAUAACUAGUUAGUAGAGAAAUUUUUAGUGAACUUUUCUUAUAAUCGAAAAAAAUAAAUUAUGAUCAAGGUUGUCAACAUUGGAUGGGUGGUCGAAUUGAUCAGAUCAUUGAUUUUCGAUCUCAUCGUUUCUAUUGAUCCAAUCAAUUAUUUGGUUCAAUUGAAUAAAUUAUAAAAAAAUAUUAAAAUAAAACAAAAAAUCAAUUUAACCAUUUAGCAAAUCAAUUAGUCAAACUUUUUAUUUCGAAUCGAUUCCUUAAAUAAUUUUCUAUCUAAACGAUUUGGGUAAUCAAGAUGUCAUAUCAACAAACCUCCCAAGAAAUUGGGCGUGAAAUAGAAAGGAAGAUAGAAGCAUAAAGUAAGUAAUUAUUUAUGCUUAUCCUAAUCUAUUUAAAUAUGGUGUGUGUAUAUAUAUAUAUAUAUAUAAAGUAAGGUGAAUGAUAGCUUGUGAGCAAUCAAAUGUAAAAACGUCUCAGUAAAAUAAAUCUAGAAAAUCAAUUAAUUCUUUAAUAAAAAUUGCAUUCAAUUAAAAUUUUAUUUAAAUUCUUAAAUAUAGCUAGUUAAAAUUUCUAACUAGAUAAUAUGACAGCUCACAUGAAAAUUUAAUUGGUAAGAUACAUUACAUGCUUAAUAGACACUUAAAUUUAAAUUUUAGAGACAACAUAAUUGCAUGGAACAACCACAAAUCUUGUAUAUAAACUACAAAACCAACAUUCAAAAAAUAUACAAUUUGGGUGAGCUACAACAAACAGCAGUCACUCUAAAGCACUUUCUAAAUGACAAACAAUUUAUAAAGCAGAGCAAGCCAGAUGCCAUCCUGGUUAUAAAGCACUUCAUUUUCUGUCAUAAGCAAUUCAUAAGUUAAAAUUUCAGUGUUAACAUUUGGAAGAAAAAAUAUGGUAAUAUCACAAAGUGAAAUGAAACUCACUUAUGCAACAUAAGACACAUGAACACCACAUUUCUCCACCUUGAUAAGUUCUUCUUCGCCACUUAAGAAGUCCAACUUUUUAAUGUGGAAUUCAAAUGAUGCCUCCUGGUAACCCUUGUCAUUUUUAACCAUAGCACCACUGAACAAAAUCAAAACAUGAUCACCUGUGUACUGCACUGACUCAAAUUCCGGACUGCAAUACCACUCACUUUUGAGCUUCUCAUAAUGACCACCAGUGGGCAUCAAUUGGCAUUCACAGCUACAUAUAAGAUCUUCAUAUUUAUGAACAUGUGCGGAAUUGGCAACAAGGCAGAUGACAAAAACCAAGUAUCUUCUCCCACUACACCCAUUUGGUGAUGGUCUCAAAAUUAAUGAAGAACUCAUGCUCUGAUACUCGAACGUAUUUGCCGAAAUUUCGUUUCCCGGGAAACAACAAACAAGACUUGGUGGAUCACAAUCAGAUUCCUUUUCCCAUUUCUUUACUAGGGAUCCAAUUUUGAUCAUCGCAUUUGCCUCAAUGUUACUAAUUGAAUCUUGAUUCAAGUUGAAGCAAUUAGAGAAUAACAUGAAAAAUUCAUGACUAUCAUCUGAAGAUUCGAGUUCAUAUAGAUUUUGGUUUGUGAACGAUACUUUUUCUAAUGAUGAGCAGUCAUGUGCAAACAAGUACCUUAAAUACGGUGGAAGCUCCGAGAGAAAUUUAAGGUUGUUGCAAUGAUCUAUAUGCAAAAAUUCAAGGCUUCUAAACUUAAGGAUUGAGUUUCCUGGGAAUUCGGUUUGAGUCUCAGAUAAGUAUAAUUCUGAUGGGUUUUUUGGGAAUUCGGUGAUAGGGCAAUGACUAAGAUACAGAGAACGAAGGAAUCCCAGCUUUGAAAUAUUGCUCGAUACCUUUUUCACCCCCGACUUUCUCAAGCACAACUGUUCAAGUCUGGUGAGAUGCUCAACUGAAUCAGGCACUUCUUCGAUUCCAGUUUCAUCUAAUUCUAAAAUAGAAAAGUGAUUUGGGACCUCAGGAAACUUCUUGAGAUUAUGACAUCCCUCAAGUUCAAGCGUUUUAAGAUAUGCCAAAUGAUCGAGACAAGGGUGUUCGACCAAACUUUCGCACCCAUUGCAGCAAAGGCUUUUAAGGUUGAUGGCACUUAAUAAAUUAGGGAUCUUCCUUAAUUUCUUGCAUUGAGUAAGGUCAAUUUCCCUCAAGUUAACAAGAUUCUGCGCAAUCAAAAUAUAAAAUAGCUACAUUACUUCAUAGCAUUGUCUACUUAUUUUGGAUUGUACAAGAAGUGACAGAAAAUUUUUAAAAAAAAUUUUUUUUAAAAGCUUUUAAUAAGACUCCAUCAUAUUAUUCACUGAUACAUCAAUUAUAAAUAUAAUUUUUUUAAAAUAUUGGAUGAAGAAAUUAGGAAAGUAUACCUGAUAACUGUCUUCAUUCCAAAGAAAUUCCAUAUCCCCAUGCGGUAAUUUCAACACAACAAGAUUGAUUGGAUUAAAACUUGAUAGAGAUUUGAAGGGAUAAUAAUCCCAAAAAAGAUACCUUAACUCGUCAGGAAGAGAUACACUAUCAUCUUGGUCGGCAAGAAGCUUCUUUUCCGAACUCUUCUUCCAAAAUCUCCCAGAAAAGUAGAAGAGAAUAACUCUAAGAUUGUACAUGUUGUCAAAAACAGUAGGACAUAACUGUAGAUUAUCAAUUUGAGACAUGUCUAACUUUAAUCCUUGAAUUAAAUCAGUCCCCUAAUAACAAAAGCCAAUUUAUGAAGUAUUAGUAAAAGACAAAUUUAUGAUCAUUCCAAUAUAUCACUCACUAAAAAAAGUAACUACAUUAAGGAAAGCUUAGACGAAUUAGGCACACCUUUUUAUUAGAGGAAAUUUAGAUAUAUAAUAGUUUUCUUUUAUUUUAUUAUACCUUAAUACAUGGGUAAAACAAUGUUUUGUGAACUACUUACAAAUAAUUAAACUUGUUAACAUGUGACAACACAUAAUUAUUUUUAUUUUUACCCUUUCGAUUAAAAUCACACAAAAAUAUGAAAAAUAUAAAGAAUGUAAAUGCAAUCAAUGCUUACUUUAUUAUAUCUGAGCACUUGAUACACAUCUUUAGGAUUCCAUAAUCUACUGUGCUUCCAAAGUUCUUUAGCCUCUUGACGAACAAUGUCCUUCCCCAUCUCUUCAAGCAUGUCGUGCAUUGAAAUACAUUCACAGUACUCUAUGCUAAAAAAUGGACUAGCAGUUAUGAUAUCAAUUAAGCACUUAUCAAGCAAGUUGCUUAUUCCAGACACUGCACCUCUAUAACAGCGACUUAGAAUUUCUUCUGCAUCUUCCUUUGAUUCGUUUUUAAAGAAGCAUGCUAUGUCAAGAAAUACAUUCUUCUCUAGUUCAUCUAACCCAUCAAAGCUUCUCUUCAAAAUCUGUGAAAUUUUUGGCUGGGCAUAUUCCUUUAAUUUGUCCACCUCACUUUCCCAAUCUCUUUUAGACUUUGUAUACAAUCUAGAACCCAAAACUUUAAGAGCAAGUGGACUCCCUUGGGCGUACUGUACAAACUUGUACGAUAGAUUUAGAAAAUCAAUGGCAGGAUUCAACUGUCUAAAUGCAAAUAUAGAAAAAAGUUGAAGAGAGUCGUUCUCGUUUAAUUUCACUACCUCAUGUAUUUUAUUUGCUCCUCCAUUCUUAAGUACUUGUUUAUCUCUAGAUGUUAUAAUGAUUUUACUUCCUUCACCAAAAUGCUGAACUCCCAAAUCAUUCAUUAGGUCUGAGUCAUUAACAUCAUCAAGGACAACAAUUACUUUUUUGUUGUUCAACCUCUCUUGGAUAAAGCCUUGUCCAAUUGAAGGGGUGCGUAUACGAAUUUCUUGCUUUAAUAGUUCUGUAAGAAAAUCAUCUCGUAA
Molecule: long non-coding RNA, 8037 nt
Filed under: Gossypium barbadense (sea-island cotton)
Lineage: Eukaryota; Viridiplantae; Streptophyta; Magnoliopsida; Malvales; Malvaceae
Description: long non-coding RNA (GBAR_LNC020342)
Source: RNAcentral